UAGAAUGCUAACUUCAAGGAAUGGGGU
RNAcentral lists this small RNA (27 nucleotides) under Bombyx mori (domestic silkworm). RNAcentral describes it as "ovarian small RNA-21866". Lineage: Eukaryota; Metazoa; Arthropoda; Insecta; Lepidoptera; Bombycidae. The record is from RNAcentral.